This 492-nucleotide ribosomal RNA is filed under the name uncultured bacterium. Its description in RNAcentral is "partial 16S ribosomal RNA". It matches the Rfam family "Bacterial small subunit ribosomal RNA", at positions 29 to 507 of the family's 1533-position model. The record is from RNAcentral.
AGUGAACGCUGGCGGUAGGCCUAACACAUGCAAGUCGAACGGCAGCACAGUAAGAGCUUGCUCUUACGGGUGGCGAGUGGCGGACGGGUGAGGAAUACAUCGGAAUCUACUUUUUCGUGGGGGAUAAAGUAGGGAAACUUACGCUAAUACCGCAUACGACCUACGGGUGAAAGCAGGGGAUCUUCGGACCUUGCGCGAUUGAAUGAGCCGAUGUCGGAUUAGCUAGUUGGCGGGGUAAAGGCCCACCAAGGCGACGAUCCGUAGCUGGUCUGAGAGGAUGAUCAGCCACACUGGAACUGAGACACGGUCCAGACUCCUACGGGAGGCAGCAGUGGGGAAUAUUGGACAAAGGGCGCAAGCCUGAUCCAGCCAUACCGCGUGGGUGAAGAAGGCCUUCGGGUUGUAAAGCCCUUUUGUUGGGAAAGAAAAGCAGCAGGUUAAUACCCCGCUGUUCUGACGGUACCCAAAGAAUAAGCACCGGCUAACUUCGUG